UCUCCGUUGGUGAACCAGCGGAGGGAUCAUUACAGGACUCGCAAGACUCCUUCACCCUGUGAACCUCACUACAAGCACGUUGCUUCGGCGGGUGACCCGGCGGGGGUUUUCCCUCGCCGGGGCGCACAGCCCGCCGGCAGCCUACUAUACUCUGUCUCUUUGCGUUGGCAUCUCGAGAAAAAACAAACAAGUUAAAACUUUCAACAACGGAUCUCUUGGUUCUG
RNAcentral lists this unclassified non-coding RNA (224 nucleotides) under plant metagenome. RNAcentral's name for it is "partial contains small subunit ribosomal RNA, internal transcribed spacer 1, and 5.8S ribosomal RNA". The record is from RNAcentral.